CGCCUAAACCCUGAGUAAUCAGGGCAUGGUGAAAGAACCGAUGAGAGGCAAAAAGCUCCUAGUCAGAGCACUCUCAUCGGUCAUGUCUCGAAAGGGAUAUGGGUGCCGCAAGACAUC
RNAcentral lists this small RNA (117 nucleotides) under unclassified sequences. RNAcentral describes it as "LOOT RNA". It matches the Rfam family "LOOT RNA". Rfam says of the family: Latescibacteria, OD1/Parcubacteria, OP11, TM7. Lineage (Microgenomates, aka OP11) The record is from Rfam by way of RNAcentral.